AUUGAACGCUGGCGGCAUGCCUUACACAUGCAAGUCGAACGGCAGCACGGGAGCAAUCCUGGUGGCGAGUGGCGAACGGGUGAGUAAAGUAUCGGAACGUGCCCAGUCGUGGGGGAUAACGUAGCGAAAGUUACGCUAAUACCGCAUACGAUCUAUGGAUGAAAGCGGGGGAUCGCAAGACCUCGCGCGAUUGGAGCGGCCGAUAUCAGAUUAGGUAGUCGGUGGGGUAAAGGCGUACCAAGCCGACGAUCUGUAGCUGGUCGGAGAGGACGACCAGCCACACUGGGACUGAGAAACGGCCCAGACUCCUACGGGAGGCAGCAGUGGGGAAUGUUGGACAAUGGGCGAAAGCCUGAUCCAGCCAUGCCGCGUGCAGGAUGAAGGCCUUCGGGUUGUAAACUGCUUUUGUACGGAACGAAAAGGUUUGGCCUAAUAAGCUGAGCUCAUGACGGUACCGUAAGAAUAAGCACCGGCUAACUACGUGCCAGCAGCCGCCGUAA
This 500-nucleotide ribosomal RNA is filed under the name uncultured bacterium. Its description in RNAcentral is "partial 16S ribosomal RNA". It matches the Rfam family "Bacterial small subunit ribosomal RNA", at positions 29 to 523 of the family's 1533-position model. The record is from RNAcentral.